GCCUGGUCUAAGUACCUCCCAUUCAUGAUAAAUGGUGAAUCUUCCUCAGGCAUUUCCCAUGUGCAGCCACUGUUCUAAGUUCAGUACUUAUGGGAGUCAUCUUGUUUAAGCCUCACAACAACCCCAAAAGGUCCUUGAAAUAUGCCUCUGGAUUUGCCUCUUCCAUUGGGGUGGGGAGAAAAACCCAAGGAUGCAGAGUCAAGGCCUUCUGGAAAGACAGACAACUUGGAAAUCUAUAAGCCUGAAUCCCCAGACUGAGCAUUCUCUGAAGGUCAUAGGAGUGGAGCCCUCACCUGUGGGAUCAGUGCCCUUUUAAAAGAGACUCCAGAGAGCUCCCUUGCUGCCUUCACCAUGUGAGAACAGAGGGAGAAGAUAGCCAUCAGUGAUCUAGGAAGCAGGCCCCUGCCAGACAUCGAAACUGUGGGCACCUGGAUCUUGAACUUCCCAGCCUCAGAAAUGUGAGAAAUAAGUAUCUGUUAUAAGCCACCUA
Molecule: long non-coding RNA, 490 nt
Organism: Phacochoerus africanus (Common warthog)
Lineage: Eukaryota; Metazoa; Chordata; Mammalia; Artiodactyla; Suidae
Exons: 3
Source: RefSeq, a predicted model, not a curated record